Molecule: long non-coding RNA, 366 nt
Filed under: Parus major (Great Tit)
Lineage: Eukaryota; Metazoa; Chordata; Aves; Passeriformes; Paridae
Description: lncRNA (ENSPMJG00000019356.1)
Source: RNAcentral
CGGCCCGCAGCAGGGCCGGGAGAGACAGACCCGCCUGCCUCAGCACGGCCCGCAGCAGGGGCCGUGCGGCUCCUCGACCCGCACAUUCUUGCGGGAGCGUGAUUCCUGCGUGCACGUGAUACUGAUCCAGGGAGCAAGGCCCUCCUCUUGGCCAUCGAAUCAGGAGCAAUGAACUCUGGAGCUGUAUGGUUUGACGCUACUGCUUUAUGGGGACAUAGGUUUAUUUGUGUUUUUUCAUCAUGGCAAAUCCCUGCUCCCUUGAUACCAUGUUCUGGACCUGGGAGACUUCAGUGCAACAACUCUAACACUCCUGAAGAAAGCGGGUUGCUGUCUGCUCGUCCAGGCAUGAGCCGCUCUGCCAGCUGA